ACCAGCGGAGGGAUCAUUAGCGAGUUUUCAACUCCCAACCCUUGCGAACCGUACCCCGUUCUGUUCUCGUUGCUUCUGGCGGGAGGGGGGGGGCGCGUCCUUCGGGGCGCGCCUCUCUCUCCCAGGUCCCUUCGGGGCGCCCGCCAGCGGCCGCGAGCCGCCUGAACUUUUUUAAACCGUAACGAAACGUCUGAGAAACAAACAAAAACAGCCAAAACUUUCAACAACGGAUCUCUUGGCUCUGGCAUCGAUGAAGAACGCAGCGAAAUGCGAUACGUAAUGCGAAUUGCAGAAUUCAGCGAGUCAUCGAAUCUUUGAACGCACAUUGCGCCCGCCAGCAUUCUGGCGGGCAUGCCUGUCCGAGCGUCAUUUCCCCCCUCAGCACGCCCUUUGGGUGCGCUGGCGUUGGGGCUCCUCCGCCCUCUGUGGCGGCAGGGCCCUCAAAUCCAGUGGCGGGCCCGUCUGGUUGGCUCCGAGCGCAGUACCGAACGCAAGUUCUCUCUCUCGCUCUGCAAGCCCCGGCCGGCGCCCAGCCGUCAAGCCGCGCAGGCGACCCUCUCGAGGGCCGCCUCGCAUUUUUACAAGGUUGACCUCGGAUCAGGUAGGAUUACCCGCUGAACUUAAGCAUAUCAAUAAGCGGAGGAAAAGAAACCAACAGGGAUUGCCCCAGUAACGGCGAGUGAAGCGGCAACAGCUCAAAUUUGAAAUCUGGCCCUCGGGUCCGAGUUGUAAUUUGGAGAGGAUGCUUUUGGCGCGGCGCCGUCCGAGUUCCUUGGAACAGGACGCCAUAGAGGGUGAGAGCCCCGUACGGGCGGCCGCCUAGCCUUUGUAAAGCUCCUUCGACGAGUCGAGUAGUUUGGGAAUGCUGCUCAAAAUGGGAGGUAAAUUUCUUCUAAAGCUAAAUACCGGCCAGAGACCGAUAGCGCACAAGUAGAGUGAUCGAAAGAUGAAAAGCACUUUGAAAAGAGGGUUAAAAAGUACGUGAAAUUGUUGAAAGGGAAGCGCCUGUGACCAGACUUGCGGCCCGUGGAUCAUCCGGUGUUCUUCACCGGUGCACUCCGCGGGCUGCAGGCCAGCAUCGGUUUUCCUAGGGGGAUAAAGGUCGCGGGAACGUAGCUCCCUCGGGAGUGUUAUAGCCCGUGGCGUCAUGCCUCUGGGGGGACCGAGGACCGCGCUUCGGCAAGGAUGCUGG
RNAcentral lists this ribosomal RNA (1192 nucleotides) under Ophiostoma piceae. Its description in RNAcentral is "eukaryotic LSU rRNA". The stretch from base 588 to 1192 matches the Rfam family "Eukaryotic large subunit ribosomal RNA", at positions 1 to 629 of the family's 3401-position model. The record is from RNAcentral. Lineage: Eukaryota; Fungi; Ascomycota; Sordariomycetes; Ophiostomatales; Ophiostomataceae.